Eumeta japonica is the source of this 113-nucleotide non-coding RNA. The record is from the annotation of a GenBank genome assembly. Lineage: Eukaryota; Metazoa; Arthropoda; Insecta; Lepidoptera; Psychidae.
GACGUCCAUUCCGCGCUGAAUACACCGGUUGUCGUCCAAUCACCGAAAUUACGCAGCGUCGGGCGGGAUCAGUAAUUGGACGGAUGACCUCCCGGGAACCCCGCGGGAUGUCA